GAUGAACGCUGGCGGUAUGCUUAACACAUGCAAGUCGAACGGUCACUUCGGUGAUAGUGGCGGACGGGUGAGUAACGCGUGAGAAUCUGUCUUCAGGUCGGGGACAACAGUUAGAAAUGACUGCUAAUACCGGAUGUGCCUUUGGGUGAAAGAUUUAUUGCCUGAAAAAGAGCUCGCGUCAGAUUAGCUAGUAGGUGGUGUAAGAGACUACCUAGGCUCCGAUCUGUAGCUGGUCUGAGAGGACGAUCAGCCACACUGGAACUGAGACACGGUCCAGACUCCUACGGGAGGCAGCAGUGGGGAAUUUUCCGCAAUGGGCGAAGGCCUGACGGAGCAAUACCGCGUGAGGGACGAAGGCUUUUGGGUCGUAAACCUCUUUUCUCAAGGAAGAUGAUGACGGUACUUGAGGAAUAAGCAUCGGCUAACUCUGUG
This 432-nucleotide ribosomal RNA is filed under the name uncultured bacterium. RNAcentral's name for it is "partial 16S ribosomal RNA". It matches the Rfam family "Bacterial small subunit ribosomal RNA", at positions 28 to 507 of the family's 1533-position model. The record is from RNAcentral.